Molecule: ribosomal RNA, 220 nt
Filed under: uncultured bacterium
Lineage: Bacteria
Description: partial 16S ribosomal RNA
Rfam family: Bacterial small subunit ribosomal RNA
Source: RNAcentral
CACGUGAGCAACCUGCCUCGAAGACCGGGAUAACAGCGGGAAACCGCUGCUAAUACCGGAUGUCCCCAUCGGGCCGCAUGACCUGAUGAGGAAAUGAAUUUCGCUUCGAGAGGGGCUCGCGGGCUAUCAGCUUGUUGGUGGGGUAACGGCCUACCAAGGCGACGACGGCUAGCUGGUCUGAGAGGACGACCAGCCACACUGGGACUGAGACACGGCCCAG